AACAAGCCCGAGGCGGGCUCAAAAUCAAGCACACAGGGUCCCAUGCACAACUUUGUAUGAAGCUGUGCAGCCAUGAUUGCCCUAAAGAAAAGAAAAACGUGUGUUGAUCCACGCAACAAGCAACAAUGCCAACAAAACUAAAGAAAAAGGGAUUAUCCCAACUUACGCCAACUUUUUAAAGCCCGGAACCGUGAAAGCUUGAAUGGAAUCGAAUUCAAGUGUUCUUCUAGAAACCCUGUGAGAGACGUAGACCUGUCAAUCAAAUGCACAGAUAUCUCAAUGGUCAAGAUUUGCGC
RNAcentral lists this long non-coding RNA (296 nucleotides) under Selaginella moellendorffii. RNAcentral describes it as "long non-coding RNA (SMOE_LNC001348)". The record is from RNAcentral. Lineage: Eukaryota; Viridiplantae; Streptophyta; Lycopodiopsida; Selaginellales; Selaginellaceae.